GUGUAUGUUUUUAUGUUUUGGCAGAUCGGUUCGGGGCGGGGUGGUUAGAGAAAUAAUAAACGGGCUCAGCCUCAGCUUAUCGCCUUAGCUUAGCCCGUCUAUAUAACGUUGCACAGGGGUAGGCAGAAUUCAUACAGUGAUGAUCCUUCCGCAGGUUCACCUACGGAAA
This 169-nucleotide unclassified non-coding RNA is filed under the name uncultured fungus. RNAcentral describes it as "sequence contains ITS1". The record is from RNAcentral. Lineage: Eukaryota; Fungi.